AUGCUUCCCAUAAGUAGAUGUUAUUGGUGACAAUUAUUUAGGUAUUCGAAGGUUCUGAUUCUACUGCAAAUGUACAAAUGCUUUGCUGAGCUUACCAUCAAGACUGACCCACAAAAUUUCAACUAUAUUGUUGAGUCUGGUGCUACCAGAAAUUUUGAACCUGUGUGAAGAUGAUGAGGCAGCAGAGACAAUAACCAUAAAAGAGAAGUUGGAGAGAUGGAAGAUGCAAUGAAAUCUUUAGAGAACAAAAACCUUGGAUUUGGAAAGAAAAAUGGACAUCAUUACUACACUGGAUGGGAUGAAAUCUAUGAAGUUCUUUUUUUUGUAUUUCAUGGACUUAAUCAGCAGACAAGGUACCCCCACAUGGUACUACUCUUUCUUAUCAAUUUUCAGCUUCGAUCUUCUUGGGUUUAAUCCUUAUUCAAAUACGUUAAAACUUUUAAGGUUUUUGUUUUAAUUGGUGGUAGUUGAGAAUUGAGUGAGGAUCUUGCAAAAUAUGCGAAAGUGUUAGAAGUAGGGGCUAAUGGAUUAGGCUAUGAGCUGCUAAAAGACUUGGCUCUAUCAGGUUUCCAUUAUUGGCUUCAAGGCUCUUUAUUGUAUGCAUUUUCUUAUGAGACAUUUUGGCUCUAUCUUUGUAUUCAAUAUUGAAGUUAAGGUAGUUAGAUGUAUAGUUUAGUGAUUUAGGGGGGUGGAUGAAAAUUGUAAGUGAAUAUGAUACUUGGCAGAUUCUUUCAAACAUUGUUCUUUCAAUUGGAGUGACUAAUUGGUUGCUAUACAUAAAGCUCAAC
This is a long non-coding RNA of Quercus robur (English oak), 788 nucleotides long. RefSeq lists it as uncharacterized. Lineage: Eukaryota; Viridiplantae; Streptophyta; Magnoliopsida; Fagales; Fagaceae. The record is from RefSeq and is a predicted model, not a curated record. The transcript is spliced from 3 exons.